GAGAACCUCUCUAACAUCUUACCCUAAAGUACUCUGUCAUCCUACACAGAGCUCUUGGCAGUCUUCCUUUUGACUUAUGCUUAUCUAGGAAUGGACAACCAAGAAGAGAAGUUAUUGAGGAAAGUCCAUAAUACAUCAGAGAACAUACAAGAUAAACCAAGAGGAAAAUAUGACCUCAGAGUACAUGGGGAAAAGAGACACCACUGCUCUUAGGUCUGGAAGAUGUGAGCAAACACUCAGCUUCCGGUAACUCACCACCAUAGUCACCGCAACCCAGUAACACACAUUCAAAUAUGGAGUCUGUUUUGGCACAACUGAUAGAAACAAUUUUGUUAUCCGAAGAUUAGAUGGUGAAGGAAAAGAAAUGCCAUUUAAAUUGGAUCCACCUACAACAGGAACCAAAACUUCAAGGUUUGAUGGUGACCCCAUCUUCACAACCAAACUAAAUAUUACAAAAAAUUCAAAAUAAUGUAGGAUGGACUUCCACUUCCAGCCAAGAUGGAGUAACAGAGGCCAGAUUUACCUCCCUGCCUGAAACCUCCUCUCCUCUGAAAAAUACAAAAUAUAUGAAGCAAUGGUUUUUAAAGCAGUAGACAUGAGGCAACAAAGGACAGUCUUCCCUGUGAGACGGAGAAAAAAGGAGGCCAUUUAUAGGGCCAACAUUCUGAGAUUAUCUGAGCCUCUGUCUUGAGGCAGCUGGAGCCUCUCAGAUGAGCCAUCUAAACAUCUCAAGCCUUUGAAACUUUCUAUCAUCAUCAUCAUCAUCAUCAUCAUCUCGGGACUCAUGUGUAUUCUCCAUUCUUCUCUUUGGCCAGAAUAUUUAUACUUGAUGAAUGCUUUGUACACAUUAAAAGCAGAUAAACUGUUUUCCCUGCUGAAAUCCAUCUGCUUAAAAAUGAAG
This 901-nucleotide long non-coding RNA is filed under the name Equus caballus (horse). RNAcentral's name for it is "lncRNA (ENSECAG00000055220.1)". The record is from RNAcentral. Lineage: Eukaryota; Metazoa; Chordata; Mammalia; Perissodactyla; Equidae.